RNAcentral lists this ribosomal RNA (253 nucleotides) under uncultured bacterium. Its description in RNAcentral is "partial 16S ribosomal RNA". It matches the Rfam family "Bacterial small subunit ribosomal RNA", at positions 524 to 776 of the family's 1533-position model. The record is from RNAcentral.
UACGAAGGGGGCUAGCGUUGUUCGGAAUUACUGGGCGUAAAGGGCUCGUAGGCGGCCAACUAAGUCAGACGUGAAAUCCCUCAGCUUAACUGGGGAACUGCGUCUGAUACUGGAUGGCUUGGAUCCGGGAGAGGGAUGCGGAAUUCCAGGUGUAGCGGUGAAAUGCGUAGAUAUCUGGAGGAACACCGGUGGCGAAGGCGGCAUCCUGGACCGGUAUUGACGCUGAGGAGCGAAAGCCAGGGGAGCAAACGGG